GACGAACGCUGGCGGCGUGCUUAACACAUGCAAGUCGAACGGAAAGGCCCGGCGUUUGUGGGGUGCUCGAGUGGCGAACGGGUGAGUAACACGUGAGUAACCUGCCCUUGACUUUGGGAGAACUUCAGGAAACUGGGGCGAAUACCGGAUAGGAGCUCCUGCUGCAUGGUGGGGGUUGGAAAGUGUCGGCGGUUGGGGAUGGACUCGCGGCUUAUCAGCUUGUUGGUGGGGUAGUGGCGUACCAAGGCUUUGACGGGUAGCCGGCCUGAGAGGGUGACCGGCCACAUUGGGACUGAGAUACGGCCCAGACUCCUACGGGAGGCAGCAGUGGGGAAUAUUGCACAAUGGGCGGAAGCCUGAUGCAGCAACGCCGCGUGCGGGAUGACGGCCUUCGGGUUGUAAACCGCUUUCGCCUGUGACGAAGCGUGAGUGACGGUAAUGGGUAAAGAAGCACCGGCUAACUACGUG
Molecule: ribosomal RNA, 468 nt
Filed under: uncultured bacterium
Lineage: Bacteria
Description: partial 16S ribosomal RNA
Rfam family: Bacterial small subunit ribosomal RNA
Source: RNAcentral